This 792-nucleotide long non-coding RNA is filed under the name Vulpes vulpes (red fox). RNAcentral describes it as "lncRNA (ENSVVUG00000021750.1)". The record is from RNAcentral. Lineage: Eukaryota; Metazoa; Chordata; Mammalia; Carnivora; Canidae.
UUUUGACCAUCAGCUUUGUGCAUGCCUAGUCCUACUUUUACUAUCAUCAAAGGAAUUAAUGCUGUUGCAAGAAAUGUAAGAAUGCUGUUUGACGGGGAGAGCUCCUACAUGGUGUUGAAGAGGAACAGAACUAGACACUAGAUGUUGUGAAGAAUGCAAUAAUCUCCCACCUGGCCUUUCCCCUAUAUGUAUCAGCUCCUGAAACUAACUGGAUACCACCUUCCUAAAAUGCAGCUUUGUAUUCCAGCCCCAUGUUCAGAUUUCCCUACAUCUUCCUUGUGGUACAAGGAAGAGGAGAUAGCUAUCAUGAAUCAGAGGAGAAGGAAGAAGAAUCUCCAAGUCCCAUGUUAAACCUCAGUGUCUUUGCUUGGUUAGAAAACUGGAGGGAAUUAAAGUCAAAGUCUCUAUCUCAGGCUUUUACUUCAGUGAGCCUUUUGAUGCACAGGCUGCCUGGGUACUCUACCCUCACCGAGGCAUUCAUAGAGAUUCUAAAUUCUAGAGGGCAUGGGAACUGUCCCAGAGAACAACACCAGGGACUACGCGUUAACUGAAGUUAGAAUUGAUAACAACGUUUCAGGUCAGUGUGAAUUGGUAGUAAAUCUGGUUUUGCUUUUGCGCUCCAGGUGUUUCUGUUAGGAUUUGAUAAAACAUAUGAUGGAGAAUUUCCCUGCUGGUAUAAACAAAACUCGACUGAUCUAGAUCUAAGCAGUGACACAGCUCUAAGUAGAGACCAGAACCAAGACAGAAGAGAAUAUAUUAACCGUUCAGCUAUCUCCUAUAUAUUGUCUGUAU